RNAcentral lists this ribosomal RNA (301 nucleotides) under uncultured bacterium. RNAcentral describes it as "partial 16S ribosomal RNA". It matches the Rfam family "Bacterial small subunit ribosomal RNA", at positions 509 to 807 of the family's 1533-position model. The record is from RNAcentral.
CAGCCGCCGCGGGAACACGAAGGGUGCAAGCGUUAAUCGGAAUUACUGGGCGUAAAGCGUGCGUAGGCGGUAAGUUAAGUCUGCUGUGAAAUCCCCGGGCUCAACCUGGGAAUGGCAGUGGAUACUGGCUCGCUAGAGUGUGUCAGAGGAUGGUGGAAUUCCCGGUGUAGCGGUGAAAUGCGUAGAGAUCGGGAGGAACAUCAGUGGCGAAGGCGGCCAUCUGGGACAACACUGACGCUGAGGCACGAAAGCGUGGGGAGCAAACAGGAUUAGAUACCCCUGUAGUCCCUGUCUCUUAUAC